RNAcentral lists this ribosomal RNA (2239 nucleotides) under human gut metagenome. RNAcentral describes it as "bacterial LSU rRNA". It matches the Rfam family "Bacterial large subunit ribosomal RNA", at positions 1 to 2406 of the family's 2925-position model. The record is from RNAcentral.
UCAAGCGAUAGGUAAGGGCAUUUGGUGAAUGCCUUGGCAAUCAGAGGCGAAGAAGGACGUGGUACACUGCGAAAAGUUACGGGGAGUUGUGAACAAGCAUUGAUCCGUAAAUAUCCGAAUGGGGAAACCCACAGAGCAAUCUGUACUGUAUGAUGAAUAAAUAGUCAUGCAGGGCGAACGCAGGGAACUGAAACAUCUAAGUACCUGUAGGAAAGGAAAUCAACCGAGACUCCGAAAGUAGUGGCGAGCGAAAUCGGACCAGCCGAUGGAUAGUCAGUAAAGAAUCAGAAUUACCUGGAAAGGUAAGCCGGAGAGGGUGACAGCCCCGUACGAGUAGAAAAGCUGACUGUUCUUGAGUAAGGCGGAGCACGAGAAAUUCUGUCUGAAAAUGGGGAGACCACUCUCCAAGGCUAAGUACUACUGAUUGACCGAUAGUGAACAAGUACCGUGAGGGAAAGGUGAAAAGCACCCCUAUAAGGGGAGUGAAAGAGAACCUGAAACCGGAUGCCUACAAGCAGUCGGAGGGUCUAUAAGGCCUGACGGCGUACCUUUUGUAUAAUGGGUCAGCGACUUAAUUUAUGUAGCAAGCUUAAGCCGAUAGGUGUAGGCGUAGAGAAAUCGAGUGUUAACAGCGCGUUAAGUUACAUGAAUUAGACCCGAAACCGAGUGAUCUAGCCAUGAUCAGGUUGAAGGUUGGGUAACACCAACUGGAGGACCGAACCCACUCCCGUUGAAAAGGUAGGGGAUGAAUUGUGGCUAGGGGUGAAAGGCCAAUCAAACUCGGAAAUAGCUGGUUCUCCGCGAAAACUAUUUAGGUAGUGCGGUGAGCGGACACCUUGAGGGGUAGAGCACUGGAAGAGCUAAGGGGGAGCGAUCCUUACUAAACUUUACCAAACUCCGAAUACUCAAGAGUGAUACUCACCAGACAGACAUUAGGUGCUAAGGUCUAGUGUCGAGAGGGAAAGAGCCCAGACCGCCAAUUAAGGUCCCAAAAUUAUGGCUAAGUGGUAAAGGAAGUGAAACGUCCAAAACAGUCAGGAGGUUGGCUUAGAAGCAGCCAUCCUUUAAAGAAAGCGUAAUAGCUCACUGAUCUAAACAAGACGUCUUGCGCCGAAGAUGUAACGGGGCUAAAGCCAUAUACCGAAGUUGCGGAUUUACACGUUAAAGUGUAAGUGGUAGCGGAGCGUUCUGUAAGCCUGCGAAGGUGUACCGUAAGGUAUGCUGGAGGUAUCAGAAGUGAGAAUGCUGACAUGAGUAGCGAAAAGAAGAGUGAGAGACUCUUCCGCUGAAAGUCCAAGGUUUCCUGCGUAAAGCUAAUCUGCGCAGGGUUAGUCGGUCCCUAAGGCGAGGCAGAGAUGCGUAGUCGAUGGCAAUCAGGUUAAUAUUCCUGAACCGGCCCGGAAGUGACGGAUUGAGUAAAUUGUAAGUUCUUAUUGGAUUGAACUUGCAGUGAAUCAGUCCCAGGAAAUAGCCCGGGCUAAGACCGUACCCGAAACCGACACAGGUGGACAGGUAGAGAAUACCAAAGCGCUUGAGAGAACUAUGUUGAAGGAACUAGGCAAAAUACUUGCGUAACUUCGGGAUAAGCAAGCCCCAUUUUAAGGCAACUUAGGGUGGGGGGCACAUACUAGGGGGUAGCGACUGUUUACUAAAAACACAGGGCUCUGCUAAAUUGAAAGAUGAAGUAUAGGGUCUGACGCCUGCCCGGUGCUGGAAGGUUAAGGAGAGAUGUGCAAGCAUUGAACUGAAGCCCCAGUAAACGGCGGCCGUAACUAUAACGGUCCUAAGGUAGCGAAAUUCCUUGUCGGGUAAGUUCCGACCUGCACGAAUGGCGUAACGACUUCCCCGCUGUCUCCAACAUAGGCUCAGCGAAAUUGAACUCUGAGUUAAGAUGCUCAGUACCCGCGGUUAGACGGAAAGACCCCGUGAACCUUUACUAUAGCUUUGCAGUGGUAUUAGGUAACAAAUGUGUAGAAUAGGUGGGAUGCUAUGAAGCUACGACGCCAGUUGUAGUGGAGCAGACUUUGAAAUACCACCCUUUUGUUGUUUGAUAUCUAACCUGCUCCCGUUAUCCGGGAGAGGGACCCUGCAUGGUGGGUAGUUUGACUGGGGCGGUCGCCUCCCAAAGAGUAACGGAGGCGCGCAAAGGUUGGCUCAGAUUGGUCAGAAAUCAAUCGUCGAGUGCAAUGGCAUAAGCCAGCCUGACUGCGAGAGAGACAUUUCGAGCAGAUACGAAAGU